This 382-nucleotide long non-coding RNA is filed under the name Homo sapiens (human). RNAcentral describes it as "HSALNT0075489". The record is from RNAcentral. Lineage: Eukaryota; Metazoa; Chordata; Mammalia; Primates; Hominidae.
GAAAGUAUUGGCACUGAUUAGGAAAGCCUUUUUUAUUAUAAUACAUCCAUCACUGUAUGGGAAAGCAGGAAAGGAUCUGCCAAUGAAACGAAAUAGUUUUCUGGAAAUAAAUAACAUCUACAGACAAUUGAAACUAUUGACUAUAGAAUGACGCAGUUGUUUCAAGAUUCCAUAGGUAAUCUGGAAUGGAGGCAUGGAGGUGGAAGUUCUGGACUCUUCUUCUCAAUGUCUAGCUAACCUGGUCAGAGGCUUGCCAGAAGGGGCCCCGAUAAAAGGAAGCUACACCCAAGAUAUGAGACAAGAAUAUGGGACAGUUAGCUUUGAUCUCUGAAUGUGUUGUGUAUUGGUUUCAGUGCCCAUCUCAUAGAAAUAAAAUACUGCU